RNAcentral lists this ribosomal RNA (853 nucleotides) under Harknessia eucalyptorum. RNAcentral describes it as "eukaryotic LSU rRNA". It matches the Rfam family "Eukaryotic large subunit ribosomal RNA", at positions 66 to 949 of the family's 3401-position model. Lineage: Eukaryota; Fungi; Ascomycota; Sordariomycetes; Diaporthales; Harknessiaceae. The record is from RNAcentral.
CAACAGGGAUUGCCCUAGUAACGGCGAGUGAAGCGGCAACAGCUCAAAUUUGAAAUCUGGCCUCGGCCCGAGUUGUAAUUUGCAGAGGAUGUUUCUGGCGCGGUGCCUUCCGAGUUCCCUGGAACGGGACGCCACAGAGGGUGAGAGCCCCGUAUGGUUGGACACCAAGCCUGUGUGAAACUCCUUCGACGAGUCGAGUAGUUUGGGAAUGCUGCUCUAAAUGGGAGGUAAAUCUCUUCUAAAGCUAAAUACCGGCCAGAGACCGAUAGCGCACAAGUAGAGUGAUCGAAAGAUGAAAAGCACCUUGAAAAGGGGGUUAAACAGUACGUGAAAUUGUUGAAAGGGAAGCGCUCAUGACCAGACUUGUGCCGGGCGGUUCAUCCGGGGUUCUCCCCGGUGCACUCCGCCCGGUUCAGGCCAGCAUCGGUUCUCGUUGGGGGAUAAGAACGGUAGGAACGUGGCCCUCCCUCGGGAGGGUGUUAUAGCCUGCCGUACGAUACCCUGACGGGGACCGAGGUUCGCGCUCCGCAAGGAUGCUGGCGUAAUGGUCAUCAGCGACCCGUCUUGAAACACGGACCAAGGAGUCGUCCAUUAGAGCGAGCGUUUGGGUGUAAAACCCGCACGCGUAAUGAAAGUGAAAUUAGGUGAGAGCUUCGGCGCAUCAUCGACCGAUCCUGAUGUUCUCGGAUGGAUUUGAGUAAGAGUUUUAACGGACGGACCCGAAAGACAGUGAACUAUGCUUGUAUAGGGUGAAGCCAGAGGAAACUCUGGUGGAGGCUCGCAGCGGUUCUGACGUGCAAAUCGAUCGUCAAAUAUGAGCAUGGGGGCGAAAGACUAAUCGAACUGUCUAGUA